RNAcentral lists this ribosomal RNA (605 nucleotides) under Naganishia globosa. RNAcentral's name for it is "eukaryotic LSU rRNA". It matches the Rfam family "Eukaryotic large subunit ribosomal RNA", at positions 73 to 669 of the family's 3401-position model. The record is from RNAcentral. Lineage: Eukaryota; Fungi; Basidiomycota; Tremellomycetes; Filobasidiales; Filobasidiaceae.
GAUUCCCUAGUAACGGCGAGUGAAGCGGGAAGAGCUCAAAUUUGAAAUCUGGUAGCCUUCGGUUGCCCGAGUUGUAAUCUAGAGAAGUGUUUUCCGCGUUGGCCCAUGUACAAGUCCCUUGGAACAGGGCGUCAUAGAGGGUGAGAAUCCCGUCCUUGACAUGGACCCCCAAUGCUUUGUGAUACACUUUCAACGAGUCGAGUUGUUUGGGAAUGCAGCUCAAAAUGGGUGGUGAAUUCCAUCUAAAGCUAAAUAUUGGCGAGAGACCGAUAGCGAACAAGUACCGUGAGGGAAAGAUGAAAAGCACUUUGGAAAGAGAGUUAAACAGUACGUGAAAUUGUUGAAAGGGAAACGAUUGAAGUCAGUCAUGCUCUUUGGAUUAAGCCGUUCUGCGGUGUAUUUCAUUGAGCGGGGUCAACAUCAGUUUUGAUCGCUGGAAAAGGGCAGGAGGAAGGUAGCACUCUCGGGUGAACUUAUAGCCUCUUGUCGUAUACAGUGAUUGGGACUGAGGAACGCAGCAUGCCUUUUGGCCGGGAUUCGUCCACGUACAUGCUUAGGAUGUUGACAUAAUGGCUUUAAACGACCCGUCUUGAAACACGGACCCC